CACACACAGCUAGCUCUUCAGGCCAGGCCCCCAGGGUUUCGUCCACCUCUCACCUUUGACGACGCGAAUGAAGAAUGAGGAGGUGCUGCGAUCGAACGACUGCGAGGAAACACACCCGCUCUCAUGGCAUUCCCAGUAAACUGAGAAGACGUGAUUAAACCUCAGGAUCUCCUACUAAUAGAGAAAUGUAUAACGAUUUAGCUACCAGAUCUGAAUACUGAAGGGUUGGUAGGGGACCAGAGAAUAGAGGAAGCAUUGUAGGUUCUAGAGUGGAGAAGGGACCAUCCAAAAUGGAGUUUGAAAGAGAAUUCUGGCCUUUGUGUUUAGAGUCUGGAAUUGUCAAGAGUCUGAAAGCACAGAAUAAGACUGCAGCUAGAGCAAUUUAGGCGCCAUAGUUUGUCAAAACAGAGACGGGAUCUCACUGUGUUGCCCAGGCUGGUCUCGAACUGCUGGACUCAAGUCAUCCUCCCAUCUUGGCCUCCCAAAGUGCUGGAAUUACAGUGGACAACCUUCAAUGCACUGGUACUUUGUACCCUGACCUCUACUGUGAUGAACACUCAACUUGGGCAAGGAAGUGAAAUUCUCCAAAGCAAGGAGGAGGGUGCUCUGAAUAGAUGGACCCUGAUUCUACUUACAAAACUGUGGGAAGAAACCGGAGCUUCCUCCCUCUCUGAGACAACGGUGCCACUGAGACUGCGUGAGAUGCGACGUAAAUUCUCUGCACUGUACUGCUCAUCCUCCCCACACUCCCUGCUGAGGCCUCGGCAAGGUGUAGCCUUCAAACACACAGACACAUACAGGCAGACACAUAAUACCAGACUUAUGGUUUUCCCACAGACAGUAUCCUCAGGGUAUGGGAAAGAGUAGGGGAAGACUCAGUAGUAAUAGACACCUGAAUUAGAUGUAUUGGUAAGAUAGUGGCCAUGUAACAAUCUCCUCUAAUUCAAAAGAAGCCCAAUCAUAGACCUUAUUUUCUUCUGAUAGCCCCAUAUCACCAUGCCUCUGCCUUAUCAUCAUCCCUGUCACAUCUCUCCAUAAUUCCUUCCCCAACACACCACCCCAGGCCCAGCACCUUAGCACCUGAGGCUGCUACCUGAGAAGUACGCACUGUUCUGGCUUCAUGGAGACCAUGCUCCAUUUCUGCUGUUGAAGUCUUUGAGAGACCAGGAUCAUGGGCUGAGUGCAACCUCCUCCCCAUGCCAUCUGCAGAGCCUGAAGAGGAAAACACAAAUACAAGUUGAGGCCAUCUCUUCCCCUAGGGCCUAACCUCUAAGCCUAGCAGCACAAACUCAGGAGCUGUUGUUUCAUUUAAUAAUAAAUAUGCAUCCUUGAAUUCAACGGAGGAACAUGCUCCUGGAAUUUAGAAGCAAGAGGGGCUGGGCGCGGUGGCUCACACCUGUAAUCCCAGCACUUUGGGAGGCCAACACGGGCAGAUCACGAGGUCAGGAGAUCGAGACCACCCUGGCUAACAUGGUAAAACCCUGUCUCUACUAAAAAUACAAAAAAUUAGCCGGGCGUGGUGGCAGGCACCUGUAAUCCCAGCUACUCGGGAGGCUGAGGCAGGAGAAUGGCGUGAACCCGGGAGGCGUAGCUUGCAGUGAGCGGAGAUCACGCCACUGCACUCCAGCCCGGGUGACAGAGCGAGACUCCGUCUCAAAAAAAAAAAGAAACAAGAAUUUUAGAAUAUAGAUAGUUUACUGAGUGUCCCCAUCUUGCUUCAUUUCAUUUUUGUAAACAUAAUCAGCUUCUGUCAGACUUAGGCUCAAGACUUAUAGACAGAGGAAAGUAUCUAACACAGUGAGUUUUGUUUUCUAACACAGUGAUUUUCUAAAGUAUCUGUGGUGACAAAGGAAAUUAUCUCCAGUCUAGUUCAGAAUAGAAAUGAUCAUAAUAAUCAUCUAUCAAACCUCCUCAUUUUAUAUAACAGGAAAAUGAGUUCCAGGGUCUGAGAGUUUAGUAGUUUAACCAGGAUUAAAAUUAAAUCCUCUUGAUUUUCAGUACAGUACUCUUACCAUCUCACCUGGUGACCUCUUUUACUCUGAGAGCAGGAGCUCCUCAGGAAUGUUUUACAUAUGUAAUGCUCUUUUCCCCUUAGCUUCUCUCAAAUCAUUUAAAUUUCUAAACAACCACUAAAUGCUUACCUCUUUUCAAAAUCUUUCUAGAUUGUUCAGUUGCUCUAAACUGGAUUGGUGACUCCCAAGGGGCUAUCCCCAAUCCAACUAAUUAAGUUUUCCAUUCCAAAACUGUAUAUGCCCCUGACCUACAUUUGAUACAUAUGUCCAUGGCCAAUUCAUGUCUUGAUUUGAUGAUUUGAUUCUAAUAUAUAUAUAUAUAUCUGGCUGAAGCUGAUAUUAUUCAUGUAAGUAUUGUAAGACCAGUUAUUUUCAGUAUUCCUGGGUACUUAAAUGCAGUGCUUUCAAUACCACCUCAGAUUCAUCUGGGAACUUUUAAAAAUAUAGCUUCCUGGAUGUUACCACAGAGCUGAAUCAGAAGGUUUGUGGUUGGUGCCUGGGAAUUUUCAUUUUUGAAAGGUUCCCAAAAAGUCUAAGAAAAUAUCCUUGAACAUUAUUGGGGGAAAUGGGAAAUGUUACAGUCUUCCUAAAAAACAACCUGGUAAUCUCCAAUAAAAUAAAAAAUAUAUUUAUCCUGUUGCCCAACGAUUCUAAUCCUGAGAAGAAGAAGAAAAAAAUACCAGUUCAUAACAACAUAUAUAUGAGAAUAUUUUCUACUGACAUAAUUUAUAGUAGCCAAGAACUAGAAAUAAAGUAAUGCCCACCUAUAGAAGAAUAAAUACAUUAUGGUUUAAUACCAGAUAUUGUCCAGCCACUUAAAAAGAUUGAACUGAGUUAAACUAGAUGAUUUGAAGAAAUUUUAAUGAAACAUUGUUGCAUUAAAAGGAAAAAAAUCUGUAAAAUGAUAGACAAGCAUUUGUUUAUGUAUAUGUAGGUCUACAUAGGAUUGUAUAAACAGAAAAUACAGUGUAUGCACACUAGAUAAUUACCUGGGGAAGUAGGGACUGGCUGUGAGAGAAGAGACAGGAAAAUUGUCUAUAAUAAAAACAGCAUGUGUGUUAUGUUCUUAUUUCUAUAAAAUUAAAAAA
Molecule: long non-coding RNA, 3100 nt
Filed under: Homo sapiens (human)
Lineage: Eukaryota; Metazoa; Chordata; Mammalia; Primates; Hominidae
Description: PPP3CB antisense RNA 1 (PPP3CB-AS1)
Source: RNAcentral